Molecule: ribosomal RNA, 468 nt
Filed under: uncultured bacterium
Lineage: Bacteria
Description: partial 16S ribosomal RNA
Rfam family: Bacterial small subunit ribosomal RNA
Source: RNAcentral
GACGAACGCUGGCGGCGUGCUUAACACAUGCAAGUCGAACGGAAAGGCCCUGCUUUUGUGGGGUGCUCGAGUGGCGAACGGGUGAGUAACACGUGAGUAACCUGCCCUUGACUUUGGGAUAACUUCAGGAAACUGGGGCUAAUACCGGAUAGGAGCUCCUGCUGCAUGGUGGGGGUUGGAAAGUUUCGGCGGUGGGGGAUGGACUAGCGGCUUAUCAGCUUGUUGGUGGGGUAGUGGCUUACCAAGGCUGUGACGGGUAGCCGGCCUGAGAGGGUGACCGGCCACAUUGGGACUGCGAUACGGCCCAGACUCCUACGGGAGGCAGUAGUGGGGAAUAUUGCACAAUGGGCGGAAGCCUGAUGCAGCAACGCCGCGUGCGUGAUGACGGCCUUCGGGUUGUAAACCGCUUUCGCCUGUGACGAAGCGUUAGUGACGGUAAUGGGUAAAGAAGCACCGGCUAACUACGUG